AUUUUUGUAAAUCAAGCUAUGAGUGUUCCUCAGGGAUGUAACUCCUCUAGCUUCAGGGAAUACGUAAGUAAAUGUUGCAGCUGAAACGAUAGAAUUUUGUGGGUCCUCUUCUGCAGUUAGGCUGCUGUGUUCUUGGCAACAACAUUCUCAGGUCACUUUUCAGGCAGACUGAAUCCCCAUUCUCGUUCCUGGAGCAGCCACCUGAACACUAGAGUUGGCAUGGAGAAGGACACCAGCCUUCCUCGUUUCAGUGUCAGCGCAGAUUGUUGUUGAAUUGACAAGACUGCACAAGUGGACUCUAACUUUUCCUGCCAGCGAGGAUUUGGGAAGACAACAACGGACCAAGGAAGGACCUCUUCUUUCAAGAAAAGAGUCAGGUGAAGGACUGCUACGUCUGACUGCAGCCACCAGUGAUAGAUAGAGAUCUGUCUGAAGAAGGUGAAGAAGAUCACUGGGUGAUUCCACAGUCCUUUCUAGUCAAUAAAGAAAUCAGAAGUGAUCAACAUGGAUUCACCAAGGGAAAAUCAUACUUGACCAAUCUGAUAGCCUUCUACGAUAUAAUGACUGGCUGGGUAGAUGAGGGGAGAGCAGUGGACGGUGUCUACCUCGACUUUAGCAAGGCUUUUGACACUGUCUCCCAUAACAUUCUCACAGGUAAGUGUAGGAAGUGUGGGUUAGAUGGGUGGACAGUGAGGUGAAUUGAGAACUGGCUGAGUGGCAGAGCUCAGAGGGUUGUGAUCAGAGGCACAGCGUCCAGCUGAAGGCCUAUAAUUCAUGGUGUUCCCCAGGGGUCAGCACUGGGUUCAGUCUUAUUCAGCAUAUUAGUCAAUGACCUGGACAAGGGGACAGAGUAUACCCUCAGCGAGUUUGCUGAUGACACCAAACUGGGAGGGUGGCUGAGAAAC
Molecule: long non-coding RNA, 905 nt
Filed under: Calidris pugnax (ruff)
Lineage: Eukaryota; Metazoa; Chordata; Aves; Charadriiformes; Scolopacidae
Description: lncRNA (ENSCPUG00000011492.1)
Source: RNAcentral